CGAACGCUGGCGGCGUGCUUAACACAUGCAAGUCGAACGGAAAGGCCCUGCUUUUGUGGGGUGCUCGAGUGGCGAACGGGUGAGUAACACGUGAGUAACCUGCCCUUGUCUUUGGGUUAACUUCAGGAAACUGGGGCUAUUACCGGAUAGGAGCUCCUGCUGCAUGGUGGGGGUUGGAAAGUUUGGGCGGUUGGGGAUGGCCUCGCGGGUUAUCAGCUUGUUGGUGGGGUAGUGGUUUACCAAGGCUUUGACGGGUAGCCGGCCUGAGAGGGUGACCAGCGACAAUGGGACUGAGAUACGGAGCAGAAGGCAACGGGAGGCAGGAGGGGGGAAUAUUGCACAAUGGGGGGAAGCGUGAGGCAGAAACGCCGCGUGCGGGAUGACGGCCUUCGGGUUGUAAAAAGCUUUCGCAUGUGACGAAGCGUGAGUGACGGUAAUGGGUAAAGAAGCACCGGCUAACUACGUG
RNAcentral lists this ribosomal RNA (466 nucleotides) under uncultured bacterium. RNAcentral's name for it is "partial 16S ribosomal RNA". It matches the Rfam family "Bacterial small subunit ribosomal RNA", at positions 30 to 507 of the family's 1533-position model. The record is from RNAcentral.